CAACAACAGUUGGUCUCACAACUACAGCCACCACAACUACAACUACAACAGCAACUAAAGCAACUAAAGAAGUCACAGGCACUCCGACUAGUUCCCCGGAAUCCACAACAGUAUCAACUAACCCUCCAGAAGAAGAUGAAGGCUACCUUCUACUGCAGUUUCGAAUAAUGCGUAAAUGGAUCCCAGCUUACAUCAAUCGUCAGUCUAAAGAAUACAAAGCGAUCAGUCUUAAUAUAACAACAGAGUGCAAUAGAGGAUACCGCCAUUCCUAUCCGAACAUUUUCCUUAGAUCGCAUCUAAGACAUCUGUGGGAAGGCUCUGUGGGGACAGAUCUUGAUCUGAUCUUUGUGAAUCAAUCAGUUGUGCCAAACAUUACUAGUGUAGAAGAAUCUCUGAAAACUGCACUAGAUACAUCGAUUAUAUUCCUGAAUAUAAUUCCAAGCAGUAUCAAAGCAGCCAUGCCAAAUAUGACCAAAGAUACCUCAUCCACAACUGCUGCUGCAACAUCAACAACAGCAACAACAACAGGACCACACAGACCCACCACUGUAGGGUCUUCAACAACAUCAAGAUUAACAACGCCAAAUAAUGCCGCAGCUACAGCCACAAGCACAUCUGCAACCAGCAACCAAGCAACUAGCAAAAAUAUUGAUCUAUUCGCUUCACUGUUCUUCACCUCACUGUUUCACGCCCUGUUUAACAAUGUAUAAACAAUCAUGGUUUCAUAAUCUUUCAGGGUUUCAAGUUUUCAUAGAGGACUUGUCUAUUAAUGUAAAAAAAAAAAAUUAUUUACUAAUUAGUAAUUACUAUUUUAUUAAUGAAUUA
Molecule: long non-coding RNA, 825 nt
Organism: Gadus chalcogrammus (walleye pollock)
Lineage: Eukaryota; Metazoa; Chordata; Actinopteri; Gadiformes; Gadidae
Exons: 4
Source: RefSeq, a predicted model, not a curated record